This 500-nucleotide ribosomal RNA is filed under the name uncultured bacterium. Its description in RNAcentral is "partial 16S ribosomal RNA". It matches the Rfam family "Bacterial small subunit ribosomal RNA", at positions 29 to 523 of the family's 1533-position model. The record is from RNAcentral.
AUUGAACGCUGGCGGCAUGCCUUACACAUGCAAGUCGAACGGCAGCACGGGAGCAACCCUGGUGGCGAGUGGCGAACGGGUGAGUAAAGUAUCGGAACGUGCCCAGUCGUGGGGGAUAACGUAGCGAAAGUUACGCUAAUACCGCAUACGAUCUAUGGAUGAAAGCGGGGGAUCGCAAGACCUCGCGCGAUUGGGGCGGCCGAUAUCAGAUUAGGUAGUUGGUGGGGUAAAGGCUCACCAAGCCGACGAUCUGUAGCUGGUCUGAGAGGACGACCAGCCACACUGGGACGGAGACACGGCCCAGACUCCUACGGGAGGCAGCAGUGGGGAAUUUUGGACAAUGGGCGAAAGCCUGAUCCAGCCAUGCCGCGUGCAGGAUGAAGGCCUUCGGGUUGUAAACUGCUUUUGUACGGAACGAAAAGGUUUGGCCUAAUAAGCUGAGCUCAUGGCGGUACCGUAAGAAUAAGCACCGGCUAACUACGUGCCAGCCGCCGCGGUAA